AUUAUAUAUACGUACAACAUUAAAAUUGUGUUUAUGUGUUGUUAUAUAUAGGAUCUAACCGGCUUAAUAGUAUUGAAGCGACCAAAUUAGUUUUAGUUUUGGAAUAGACUAUGAAAUAUAUGAAAUUGGCUUUACGAUGUUAGUGAGACUAUUAAAUUGUGUUCAGAGUGAAUCUCUCCUCAAUAUUGGAUUAAUGCAUAUCAUUAUUAUGGUCUUUAUUUUCUGUGUAUAUUAAGAAAUCAAAUAUGGGUCGUUUAUUAUAAUGGGAAACUUUGUGUGCACGACCGUUCAAGAUAUAUAACACAGAUUAUGGAUAUGCAAAAUGAAGUUUGGUCAAACUAAUCAAUCAAAACUAAAGAUCUUGCUCAAAUAAGGCUAAAUAUUAGUGCGUAUGUUGAUUAUGUUAGUAUCUUAGAUUUAGUUUUUAAGAGUUGUAAAGCUUAUAUAAGAUGAAUUUUGUAAUCCAAGCUGAAUGUGGGUUUCCCCUCCUUUGUUCUUUACUAUUUUCUGUUAAUGAAUCUCUCUAUACUCUCUCUAAUCUCUAUGUUUGCAUCCUCAAGUCUCUCUAAUCUCUCAAUCUCUCUCAAUCUCUCACAACACAUACUCUCAUCUGCUUACACUCAUUCUUUCAUCUAUCUCACCAUUACAAGACUCAAGUCGAACUCAUCUUUGAUUUUUCAUCACUCUCACACCAACAUCUUGAUAAUCUCACAUAUCUCAUAAAAAAUAACAACACGAGGGAUAAGAUGCAACAUAAAUGGAGCAGAAGAGGAG
Molecule: long non-coding RNA, 774 nt
Filed under: Brassica napus (rape)
Lineage: Eukaryota; Viridiplantae; Streptophyta; Magnoliopsida; Brassicales; Brassicaceae
Description: long non-coding RNA (BNAP_LNC008156)
Source: RNAcentral